RNAcentral lists this ribosomal RNA (468 nucleotides) under uncultured bacterium. RNAcentral describes it as "partial 16S ribosomal RNA". It matches the Rfam family "Bacterial small subunit ribosomal RNA", at positions 28 to 507 of the family's 1533-position model. The record is from RNAcentral.
GACGAACGCUGGCGGCGUGCUUAACACAUGCAAGUCGAACGGAAAGGCCCUGCUUUUGUGGGGUGCUCGAGUGGCGAACGGGUGAGUAACACGUGAGUAACCUGCCCUUGACUUUGUGAUAACUUCAGGAAACUGGGGCUAAUACCGGAUAGGAGCUCCUGCUGCAUGGUGGGGGUUGGAAAGUUUCGGCGGUUGGGGAUGGACUCGCGGCUUAUCAGCUUGGUGGUGGGGUAGUGGCUUACCAAGGCUUUGACGGGUAGCCGGCCUGAGAGGGUGACCGGCCACAUUGGGACUGAGAUACGGCCCAGACUCAUACGGGAGGCAGCAGUGGGGAAUAUUGCACAAUGGGCGGAAGACUGAUGCAGCAACGCCGCGUGCGGGAUGACGGCCUUCGGGUUGUAAACCGCUUUCGCCUGUGACGAAGCGUGAGUGACGGUAAUGGGUAAAGAAGCACCGGCUAACUACGUG